Molecule: long non-coding RNA, 2752 nt
Organism: Cottoperca gobio
Lineage: Eukaryota; Metazoa; Chordata; Actinopteri; Perciformes; Bovichtidae
Source: Ensembl
AGUCCCAGCUGCAGCACGCUUUUGUUCAAACUCAGAAGUCAGACAGUCCUUUACAGAGGCGCUUGUUUACCUUACUCACCAAAUGUGUUUAUAACACGCUGACAACAGUGUCGCUCUUGUCAGGUGCAUUCAGCUUGCUGUGCUUUUAACCUACACUGCCAGUUUUGGAAACAAAAAAAUAUUUUAGUUGUACUUUAGUUGUGUGAAGUUAUUCAAACAGGGACGAGUGAAGAAGGAAGGAUUUUCCUUGAACCCGUUUUCUAUUGGUUUUGCUUGGGGUUUGACUGCUGUCAUGUACAGUUUCUAGACAUUUUCUUUGACAGACAGGAGAGAGUAAGCUUAUGCUACCCUUCAUCCUCCUCGCUGGAUAUCUAUGGAGAGGCUGUCCUGUAUGCUCCCACGCAGCUCUUGGAGUUACUUGCGGCCGAGACAGCACCGUGAAUGUUGAAUUCACCGACCUGGAUAGCAGAAGACGGCACACAUAACCUCAUUUGAAUGCCUUUGCAAGGAGUUUGCUGCUUUCUGUUCUGCAGGCAGGGCUUCAGUUUGCUCGGACGGGACUAUGGGGAGAAAGAGGAGGAAGAGUCUUUUGAAUUGCGCAACAAGGAGGACUUGACUCCCAAUGGACGGAGUCCAGCUGAAGUGACUGUUUCUCAACCAACUCGCACAGCCAAUGGAACAAAUGGCCCAGCUUCAGCCAGAGGCCCAUGCAGCCAGGCCAAGCACUGUGGGGGAGGAGAUGCAGACUUAAGAGAGAGGAAUGGAUUUCUACAAAGAGAAACUGAUUAUUUAUUGCUACAGUAUGACCCACUGUAUUUUAAUGAAGGUCAUCUCAGAUAGUGUUAUUUAUCCUCGGGGAUUGUUCUGAUAAACUGUGUAACUUGCUGUCAUUUGUGCACAGUUAUAUGAGCCUGGACAUCAACAGAGGCAGCUGCUUUGAGGUCAUUUCUUUGAAUGCCUCUUUGGACCCAUCCUGACAUUUCAUCCAUCACAUAAAUCAUCAAGUAUUUCUGUGACCCGUCCGCACAAGGGUCAUUUAUGCAAUUGUGCGGGUUCUUGUGGUCACAAGGACCCGCUUUGUAUGCUGGAACAUGUCUCCGCUGUUUCCACUGCGGUCACCCAAGCCCAAGAGCAAGGACACUACUUUUCUAACUUUAAUUAGCGUCUCGGCGUUUUGAUUAGACCCUGGACUGAAAUCAAUUACUCAUCGCUCCAGCAGCCUCCACCAGACCGACACUCACAAACUAAUCAACUCAUUGUGCUGUUUGUACUUGGUGGAUUUAAGUGUGUCACCGUCAUUGUCACCAUGAAAGGGCUGCAGACAAUAUGCUGAUGAUGACCUUAUUUCAGUAUGCACUGUUGGAACUGUCCAUAAGCUGUUGAUUUGAGUCUUGUUUCCAUAAUAACCCUCGAUUUGCGAAACUCUGGCGAGAUGGUUGAGGUUAGGGGUUAUCCUCAAAUGGUUAGGGUUAAUAAAGGUAGCGAGUCUUGCAAGAUUUUUCCCAAAUCAAGGGUUGUUAUAGACACAACCUCAAUCUGUAUCCUAAAUAAUGCUGCAUUCACGCAGUUUUGGUAGAAUGGGAAGAACAGGAAAACCUCCUGAUUAGUCGUUUAACAGCUUUUACUAUUCAACUAUUUUAAUAAACAGAUCAUUGUGUUGGUUGCUGGUUCCACCUUCUUAAACGUGAAGAUCUGGUGAUUGAUUUGAUUGAUUGACUGAACCAAAUCAGUUGUAUUCGUGUUAAUGUUGCAUUUAAUUUUUAUGAAACUGCCAGCUAUGAAGGCUCUUCUCAGAACUGUGUGGGCGUGUACAGACCGUACUUGAUUGACAGCUCCCUGAUUCUCUUGUUCAUUUUGUGGCACAUGUUAGGGCGGGACAGCGUACACCUUUACCUUGUAAAGCUCCUUCAAGUACGUGGAAGUGUGUGACAUUAUGACACUAUGCUUUAGAUGUAUUAUAGAAUCAGAUUUAUGGGGUUGUAGGAAUUGAGGGAAUUGUUUUGUCUUCUUUUCAUGAGUUCUGUUUGCUUCCUGGGCCGAGCUGACCUAUGCAACGUGAUUAGCAGAUGUUUUUCUUUCCACUUUCAUAAACAAAUGAUUGUGAAGGUGUUUUGUCUUUUUCCUAUGCUGCACCUUUUUCCUAGAAGCAAAAGUACUUCUCUGUGUUUCUAAUAGAAAACAAACAGCUGUACUGUGUUGAUCUCCAAACUCCUCUGCAGCAGCUGAUUUUUAGUCCACCAGGGGAGGGCAAGAGAGACAGAGAGAGGUGCUGUCUGUCUGUGGAUGUGCACUCGCUCUAUUCUCCGUGCUGUCUAAUCCCCAUGUCAAAUUGUUUCCUGCACUCCACAGGAAGUUGCCCACUAAAGGCCUCACCGUCACGGCCUUUGCUGGGGUUUCUGGGAAUGUGGGGGUGGUAGCAUUGGGGCCUGUGGGGGUUUUAGGGCUGCUGGGCAGCUGUGGAGAUCCAAAGUACAAUUAUCAAACUGACUCGGCAGCGUCUAAUUUGAAGGUCAGGCUAGUUUGUGCUGCUAAAGGUCAACACCUAGGUUAUAAUCCUUCCUCCUUCUCUACGUGGACUAAAAGAAGCACUAAAAUGGACUUAUAAAGUAUUUCAGGAAGGAAAAAGAGAUUUCUGUCUCUUUUUUUGCGGCAUGGCAACACGCCCACGUUUCUUUGAAAUCUGCUCACACGAGAAGUUUAAUUUUGAACUCCAAGAAUAUUCCUCCAGGAUGUACGUACGACCAUGUGGACC